RNAcentral lists this ribosomal RNA (253 nucleotides) under uncultured bacterium. RNAcentral's name for it is "partial 16S ribosomal RNA". It matches the Rfam family "Bacterial small subunit ribosomal RNA", at positions 524 to 776 of the family's 1533-position model. The record is from RNAcentral.
UACGUAGGGUGCAGGCGUUAAUCGGAAUUAUUGGGCGUAAAGAGCUCGUAGGCGGUUUGUUGCGUCGGCUGUGAAAUCCCGAGGCUCAACCUCGGGUCUGCAGUCGAUACGAGCAAACUAGAGUGUUGCAGGGGAGACUGGAAUUCCUGGUGUAGCGGUGAAAUGCGCAGAUAUCAGGAGGAACACCGGUGGCGAAGGCGGUUCUCUGGGCCUUACCUGACACUGAGGAGCGAAAGCGUGGGGAGCGAACAGG